RNAcentral lists this ribosomal RNA (370 nucleotides) under uncultured organism. RNAcentral describes it as "partial 16S ribosomal RNA". It matches the Rfam family "Bacterial small subunit ribosomal RNA", at positions 527 to 896 of the family's 1533-position model. The record is from RNAcentral.
GGAGGGUGCAAGCGUUAUCCGGAUUCACUGGGGUUUAAAGGGGUGCGUAGGCGGGUAUUUAAGUCAGUGGUGAAAUCCUAGAGCUUAACUCUAGAACUGCCAUUGAUACUAUUUAUCUUGAAUAUUGUGGAGGUAAGCGGAAUAUGUCAUGUAGCGGUGAAAUGCUUAGAUAUGACAUAGAACACCUAUUGCGAAGGCAGCUUACUACGCAUAUAUUGACGCUGAGGCACGAAAGCGUGGGGAUCAAACAGGAUUAGAUACCCUGGUAGUCCACGCCCUAAACGAUGGAUACUCGACAUACGCGAUACACUGUGUGUGUCUGAGCGAAAGCAUUAAGUAUCCCACCUGGGAAGUACGACCGCAAAGGUUG